RNAcentral lists this ribosomal RNA (460 nucleotides) under uncultured bacterium. Its description in RNAcentral is "partial 16S ribosomal RNA". It matches the Rfam family "Bacterial small subunit ribosomal RNA", at positions 338 to 795 of the family's 1533-position model. The record is from RNAcentral.
CCUACGGGGGGCAGCAGUGAGGAAUAUUGGUCAAUGGACGAGAGUCUGAACCAGCCAAGUAGCGUGAAGGAUGACUGCCCUAUGGGUUGUAAACUUCUUUUAUAUGGGAAUAAAAUGUUCCACGUGUGGGAUUUUGUAUGUACCAUAUGAAUAAGGAUCGGCUAACUCCGUGCCAGCAGCCGCGGUAAUACGGAGGAUCCGAGCGUUAUCCGGAUUUAUUGGGUUUAAAGGGAGCGUAGGUGGAUUGUUAAGUCAGUUGUGAAAGUUUGCGGCUCAACCGUAACAUUGCAGUUGAAACUGGCAGUCUUGAGUACAGUAGAGGUGGGCGGAAUUCGUGGUGUAGCGGUGAAAUGCUUAGAUAUCACGAAGAACUCCGAUUGCGAAGGCAGUUCACUGGACUGCAACUGACACUGAGGCUCGAAAGUGUGGGUAUCAAACAGGAUUAGAUACCCUUGUAGUC